UAAAGACUAAUAUUGUAACAUAAAAUUAGUAAAAACAUAGGAACAAAGAAAGUUGCCAAUUAUCUGUUUGAUGGUAUUUGUUGGAGAAAGGCUGCUUGAGGUGGCUUCAUUAUUUUAUCCACCAUUAUUUUCAUGUAACUUAUAGGCAGCUCCAGGUUGAGACCAAAACUCUCCAUACCUCUACUCAAAGCAUCAACCUAUUUUCUGACCUUGGUCAUUUGAGAAUACAACGACAAGAGUUGAUUAUGGGAAGCAAAAAAGUAUUUGGUGGUGAAAGGGGAUCUGUGAUUGGAAGUUGCAGGAUUAUUUUCUUGGUAGCUUAUUUUAAGUAUCAA
RNAcentral lists this long non-coding RNA (335 nucleotides) under Capsicum annuum. RNAcentral's name for it is "long non-coding RNA (CANN_LNC014746)". The record is from RNAcentral. Lineage: Eukaryota; Viridiplantae; Streptophyta; Magnoliopsida; Solanales; Solanaceae.